GACAGAGGGUGCAAGCGUUGUUCGACAUCACUGGGCGUAAAGGGCACGUAGGCGGCGAAGUGUGUCUGAUGUGAAAGACCUUGGCUCAACCAGGGAGGUGCAUUGGAAACUACUUUGCUAGAGUGCGAGAGAGGAUGGCAGAAUUCCCAGAGUAGAGGUGAAAUUCGUAGAUACUGGGAGGAAUACCUGAGGCGAAGGCGGCCAUCUGGAUCGUAACUGACGCUGAGGUGCGAAAGCAUGGGGAGCAAACAGG
This 253-nucleotide ribosomal RNA is filed under the name uncultured bacterium. Its description in RNAcentral is "partial 16S ribosomal RNA". It matches the Rfam family "Bacterial small subunit ribosomal RNA", at positions 524 to 776 of the family's 1533-position model. The record is from RNAcentral.